GGGUUUCUUGAGAAAGUAACAUAUGAAAUAGAACUAUGAUACAGAUAGGAUGUUAACAGAGAGAAGAGGAGGCAUUCAGAGGAGGCCAGGAAGAAUGCUGGGAAGAAAACAGUGGCAAUUGGGUAUUGGGAUAAGUCAAAACAUUUGAAAGAAAUAAACACAGAAUACUUGCACAGUAUGUUUGACACCUUUGUUACACAUCAAUCAAGAGCAGUUUAAAUGGACUUGUAUAGGCAAAUGGAAAAGCCACAUGCAAACACAGCUUUAGAAAGGUUUUAUUGGCAGUGAUUUUAAGGAUAGAUAAGCGUAAGGAAAAAUUCUUUUGAGUAAUAGUUGAAAUCUUCUAUGCCAGAAAUAAUUAGAGCUUGAGCUGAUUUGUUGGUAGUGACCUUGGAAACAAUGGAGCAGAUGAAAGAGACUCAAAAAGAGGGAAACUGUACAUAACUGGGCUAUCAGUUGAGGAAUGAGAGAGCAUGGUAAAAAUGGUGAAUUCCGGCACAGCUGA
Molecule: long non-coding RNA, 505 nt
Filed under: Homo sapiens (human)
Lineage: Eukaryota; Metazoa; Chordata; Mammalia; Primates; Hominidae
Description: HSALNT0203256
Source: RNAcentral